GAUGAACGCUGGCGGCGUGCCUAAUACAUGCAAGUCGAGCGAACAGAUAAGGAGCUUGCUCCUUUGACGUUAGCGGCGGACGGGUGAGUAACACGUGGGUAACCUACCUAUAAGACUGGAAUAACUCCGGGAAACCGGGGCUAAUGCCGGAUAACAUUUAGAACCGCAUGGUUCUAAAGUGAAAGAUGGUUUUACUCUCACUUAUAGAUGGACCCGCGCCGUAUUAGCUAGUUGGUAAGGUAACGGCUUACCAAGGCAACGAUACGUAGCCGACCUGAGAGGGGGGGCGGCACCAGGGGAAAGGAAACGCGGGCAAGACUCCUACGGGAGGCAGCAGUAGGGAAUCUUCCGCAAUGGGAGAAAGCAUGACGGAGCAACGCCGCGUGAGUGAUGAAGGUCUUAGGAUAGUAAAACUCUGUUAUUAGGGAAGAAAAAAUGUGUAAGUAAGUGUGCAAGUCUUGACGGUACCAAAUCAGAAAGCCACGGCUAAAUACG
Molecule: ribosomal RNA, 495 nt
Filed under: uncultured bacterium
Lineage: Bacteria
Description: partial 16S ribosomal RNA
Rfam family: Bacterial small subunit ribosomal RNA
Source: RNAcentral